UACGUAGGGUGCAAGCGUUAAUCGGAAUUACUGGGCGUAAAGCGUGCGCAGGCGGUUAUGCAAGACAGAUGUGAAAUCCCCGGGCUCGACCUGGGAACUGCAUUUGUGACUGCAUGGCUAGGGUACGGUAGAGGGGGAUGGAAUUCCGCGUGUAGCAGUGAAAUGCGUAGAUAUGCGGAGGAACACCGAUGGCGAAGGCAAUCCCCUGGACCUGUACUGACGCUCAUGCACGAAAGCGUGGGGAGCAAACAGG
This 253-nucleotide ribosomal RNA is filed under the name uncultured bacterium. RNAcentral describes it as "partial 16S ribosomal RNA". It matches the Rfam family "Bacterial small subunit ribosomal RNA", at positions 524 to 776 of the family's 1533-position model. The record is from RNAcentral.